This is a long non-coding RNA of Ananas comosus (pineapple), 2319 nucleotides long. RefSeq lists it as uncharacterized. The transcript has 8 exons. The record is from RefSeq and is a predicted model, not a curated record. NCBI's taxonomy places the organism in Eukaryota, Viridiplantae, Streptophyta, Magnoliopsida, Poales, Bromeliaceae.
UCUCUCUCACAGAGACUCACCCUUGCCCUCUCCCAUAUCUAUCUCUCUCUCUUAUUCUUCUCUUUCUCCCAUACUCACUUCCUCAAUAAUCUCUUCUUCUUCAUCCUCUGACUCCGUCCCAGCCCAUCCCUCCUCGCUCCUUCCGCUGCGUAGCAUCGCCUCCACCGCCUCGCCGCUGUCGGCCUCUUGUGGAAGAAGCUCCAUCUACACGACUGGGUCGUCGCAACAGCCUUUCUCUCCUCUUCCUGUCGUCAACGCCACCUCUGUUAGAGGCAUGGCUCCACAUUGGAAUAAAAGAACUUUUCAAUUUGACAAGUUUUUUAUUUCUAUUUAUUGACAUCGUCUCCCACAUAAUAUUAAAUGAAGAAUUGCAAUACAGAAUGUUUCUUGUGGCUUAGAUGGUGUUUAUGUGUUGAGAUAAUAUGGAAUGUGAAACCUAAACAGUGAUAGAGAAUCAUCCUGAUUGUUGAGGCGAAGGAGCGGCAGCAGUGCAACAAGCUCUAAUGGAGAAAUUCUUUUAUUUUCUUAACUUUUGAGAAAAGCAGCUAGAAUCCACCAACAUAAGGCAGAAAAUUGUCUAGAAUAGUUUCUCUUCAUAGAUAUAAAUUGAUGCUGCAACGAUGUGCUUCCAAGAUGUACGCGGCAUGCACAAAGCUGAGCUCAAAAAGGUCUUUCAUUGUCCAGAUUCUGCGGUGUAAACAUCUUAAAUAGAAUACUCUCGAGAAACAGUUGCGCCCCCCAAUGGGUCGAAUUGAAGAUAGCAAUCCGUGGCAGGAGAUAUCACGGAGUGGAGGUCGAUCUUCAAGUGAGCUUGGAUGAGGAGGUCAUGCAAUGAGGAUCCAAAUGGCGCGAGCACUUUGAAGCUCUCAAGGCACAAAUGCGCGAAAUAAAUGAUAAGAUGUGACACUUUACCGAAUUAAUUAUAAGUUUUAUUUUGAUAUAUAAGCUAUUGUUCUUGCUGGAUAUCUGGAACUGGGAAUGGAAUUUAGGAAGCCGUCCAAAUGGCGCGAGGACUCUGAAGCUUUCAAGGCACAAAUGCGUGAAAUAAACGAUAAGAAGUGACACUUUACAAAUUAAUUAUAAGUUUUAUAUUGAUAUAUAAGCUAUUGUUCUUGCUAGAUAUCUGGAACUGGGAAUGGAAUUCAGGUGGCUGUCCAAAUGGCGCGAGGACUCUGAAGCUCUCAAGGCACAAAUGCGCAAAAUAAACGAUAAGAUGUGACACUUUACCAAAUUAAUCAUCCGUUUUAUAUAGAUAUAUAAGCUAUUGUUCUUGCUAGAUAUCUGGAAUUGGGAAUGGAUGGCUUCUUGAUUUUUUGUCGUACGGCUCCCUCCUUGCUUGCUUCCUCUUUAAUUGUGCAUUCUCAUAUGAAGGCCCUAAUGGUUAUAAAUACUGCUUUUGUGCUAAGUCUGAUUAAACCAAGAGAAUCAAAUAUUAUCAGAUGCUAACUCUAUGCUUAUUGGAUUGCCCCGUGCCAAAGUAAUCCGCAAAUUAGCAGAGGAAGUCUUCUCAAUCGUUGGACGAGAUCCUUUAAUUGAGGUAGCUAUUGCAUUGGAAAAAGCUGCACUAUCUGAUGAGUAUUUUAUUAAGAGGAAGCUUUAUCCCAAUGUGGACUUCUAUUCAGGCCUAAUUUACAGGGCAAUGGGCUUCCCUACAGAAUUCUUUCCUGUUCUGUUUGCCAUCCCUAGAAUGGCUGGAUACUUAGCUCAUUAGCGAGAAUCACUUGAUGAUCCUGAUACGAAGAUCCUCUGACCUGGCUCUUGCAAGUUUGGACUAUAUAUUAUUAUCCGAUAAUAAGUUAUAAUAAUGGAUAUGCUAUAUCAAUUUAAAAUGUGACAGAAUAUUUUUAUUCUCAUAUGUUUAUCUGGAAGUAGCACAGUUUUGCAAUAGUGGCACAACGUGCGAGCGGGCGGCACGAGCGCGGGUGCGAGCCAGCGCGGACACGAGCUCGCGCGGGGCNUUUUUUUUUUUUUUUGUAAACUUAUAAUUUGGCCCCCCAAGGCCAUCUCUGGCUCCUUCUCCAUCCUUUGCCUUCUCCCUGCCCCCUACCUCAUCGGCUUCUACGUUACCUAGCGCCACCUCCACCGCUGGCAGAGGUCCUUUACAAGCUUAUUGAGGAUUGUGCUCGGCUUAAAGGAGAUGUCUCAGAGAUUGUUCUUGAUCUCUGCCAGAAGAUCUCAAACGGUUUCUUGGGUAUAAUGUUUGGGGUAGUCCAAUUGCAAUUUUGGCUGAUGGACAAAUCUGAAUCUUAUAAAAUUCAUAGAAUUUACUUUAUUUGUAUGCUUUUACUUACGCUUUUGAUUUUACGUAUGGUUUUGCUA